GUAUGGGCUUCGAUAGAUAGCAGGCUCAUCCGCACGGGCAUCUCACAGUGUCCCAUACCAGAGCAAAGUGUAGCCUUGAACCACUGCCUGGCCUUGCCCAUGGGCUGGGGAAAUAAGUAAACAAAUA
RNAcentral lists this small nucleolar RNA (127 nucleotides) under Echinops telfairi (small Madagascar hedgehog). Its description in RNAcentral is "Small nucleolar RNA SNORA42/SNORA80 family (ENSETEG00000022825.1)". The record is from RNAcentral. Lineage: Eukaryota; Metazoa; Chordata; Mammalia; Afrosoricida; Tenrecidae.